Long non-coding RNA from Lutra lutra (Eurasian river otter), 292 nucleotides. RefSeq lists it as uncharacterized. The record is from RefSeq and is a predicted model, not a curated record. Lineage: Eukaryota; Metazoa; Chordata; Mammalia; Carnivora; Mustelidae. The transcript has 4 exons.
UGGUGAGUAACUUCCACGAUUAAUAAUUGGAGAUUCCCAGACCACUAGAAAGGAAGACUACAGAGAAGAUGAUUUUCAGUAUUGGAUUCUGAAUUCUUGAUUUAAGUGGUCAAAAUGACAGAAAGGAAAGAAUACGCAGACUGGUUCUCUUAUUUAUGAAAAACUGAGAUGAGCCAAGUUAAUUCAAUGUCAGCAGAAGAUACCCUGAUUUUUCUAGUAAUCAAACUCGUGAAGUAGUUUUCAUUGGGAGCAACAUGGGAGGCCAAAAGAGCCAACAUUAGUAGGAAGGAAU